This 270-nucleotide ribosomal RNA is filed under the name uncultured bacterium. Its description in RNAcentral is "partial 16S ribosomal RNA". It matches the Rfam family "Bacterial small subunit ribosomal RNA", at positions 88 to 353 of the family's 1533-position model. The record is from RNAcentral.
AUGGCGACCGGCGCACGGGUGAGUAACACGUAUCCAACCUGCCGAUAACUCGGGGAGUAGCCUUUCGAAAGAAAGAUUAAUACCCGAUGGCAUAAUAGAACCGCAUGGUUUGUAUUAUUAAAAGAAUUUCGGUUUAUCGAUGGGGAUGCGUUCCAUUAGGCAGUUGGUGGGGUAACGGCCCACCAAACCUUCGAUGGAUAGGGGUUCUGAGAGGAAGGUCCCCCACAUUGGAACUGAGACACGGUCCAAACUCCUACGGGAGGCAGCAUG